Molecule: non-coding RNA, 45 nt
Organism: Schistosoma rodhaini
Lineage: Eukaryota; Metazoa; Platyhelminthes; Trematoda; Strigeidida; Schistosomatidae
Source: Rfam
AUCCAGCUGAUGAGUCCCAAAUAGGACGAAACGUGCGUCCUGGAU